Molecule: long non-coding RNA, 17135 nt
Filed under: Medicago truncatula (barrel medic)
Lineage: Eukaryota; Viridiplantae; Streptophyta; Magnoliopsida; Fabales; Fabaceae
Description: long non-coding RNA (MTRU_LNC005570)
Source: RNAcentral
CGAAACCAAUGACAUAGUAGGUAAGGAAUACCCAAACAGCAACUUCCACAAAAGUUAAGGGGAUUUUUAGGAUCCAUGCAGGAAGAGCAUAUGCCCAUGGAGGGAAAAAUAGGUAUCCCCUUUGCUUGUAGAAAACAGGAAGUCUUGAAACUACCAUGGAAAUUUCCGCCAUUCCAUUGAACAUGAUCACAACAACGCCAUAGAACAAUGCACCUACAUAUAUGCCUCCAAGAGUCACCGAAUCUCUGUGCAUCUCAGUCCGGAAGAAGAUGGUCAUUGCAAUCAUUGCCAUUAUACAUAUCUAAAAGGAGAGGGAAGUCAUCAGUAAUGGAUUUUAAUAAUGUACAUCAAAAAAGUCUCAUUUUAUUUUGGAAUCGAGGCUAAUGGUAGUUUAUAAACACCUAGUGGGGUGCGCCUUUUAACGAAGGACAAAACUGUGAUGGCUUAGACUGACACGAAAAUUAAGGCUAACUCAUCCUUACAAAACUGGCUUGUACAGUGAUGAGUGCCUCCUCUUUAUAAACUCUUCUCAAGAAUCCUAUCUAUCCGAUGUGGGACUAAAUCCCACCGAGUGUUGGCCGCUAACACAAGGCCCAAAAAUAGAUAAUACCUCAGAAAACUGUGAGGGCUUAGAAAAGAAGCACAUAAGACUUGAGGUAGGAACAUAAUAUUAUAAUGAAAAUGUCAAAAUUUUGUAAACCUACUUGGCAAAUUUUGAAGAUGUAGACGAAUGAAUUGCGCUUCAUAAGUAAGUAUUCUCGUGAUAAACAAGCUUUAAACAAUUCCCAUUUUCCCACUCCAUAUUUCUUGGUUGUCAAGGCAGCUGGAUGGCUCUUAGACUUGUCAAAUUCAGUACCAAGUUCAUCACCAAGUCUUCUGCCAACAUGAAAUGAUUGAAAUGCCUCAGAAAACUCUUCAGCUGUGACAAAUCUAUAAGGCUGGUCUUUGUGUUCCCAAUACUGCUCUUGGUCUUUCCUUGAUGUCACCUAUAAAAACAUAAUAAUUUUCAUAUAAAAUAGUAAAUUGUUAUGACAUAGAAUAAAGUAUAAACCUUCUCUUGACUAAAAUGAUAAAAGACACAAUGACACUCACUUCUUGCAAAAAAUCUGCCACUCCUUUCCUAUCAGGACAUUUAAAACCAAUUGAUUCGAAAAAUUCAAGCACGUGCUCACGGGGACCUUGGUAUAUAAUGUGACUAUCAGAGAGUAGAAUAAUGUCGUCAAAAAGAUUGUAAGUCUCUGGUGGUGGCUGAAGGAGCGAGAUGACCGCAGUUCCUUUGAGAAUGUGGACAAAUUGCUUCAUUGAAUUCACAAUCUGAAAAGUUGUCGAGCUAUCCAAACCAGUAGAUAUUUCAUCCAUGAAUAGAGCUUUCGCCGGUCCAACCAACAUCUCCCCUGCAUUGAUAGAUUCAUAAUAAUCAAUUCAUUGAGAUGAUUCAUAACUAUCCACGUUAAGACUUAAAUUGGAUUUUUAUUUUACCAGUUGUAACGCGUUUCUUUUGUCCACCAGAGAUACCUCGUAACAUUGCAUUUCCUACAACAGUAUCAGCACAUAUCUCUAGUCCCAAAAUCUGCAAAUGUAUAACAAAGAAACAAGAGACUGUAAAAUAUAUUAUUACAAUGUAGUCAUGGUGACAUGUUUUGAAAGUAUAAUUAUUUUACCCUUAGGACAUAAUCUGUUAUCAAAUUUGCCUUCUGGCCUUCAGUUGCUAUAGCCUGUGAGCAUUAUGAAUCCAAAGGACAACCACUUUAGUAUCAUUCAUUUUUUAUUUUCAUGGAAAAGAAAUAGAUGAUCCACUAAGUAUAAAAUAACUCUAUAUUACCUUCAUGUACACAUCAAUGUCUGGAUCAGGCAUGAUAUUUGCAUGUUUUUCUCUUCUGGACAGCUCUGCUAACAAGUCUGCAGAAUGACAACAAUAUUACACAUGGUCAAAACUUUCUAAUUUAUGGCCUUUUUGGAUUGACUUAUUUGAGUUUUUCUACUUACAUAAUGACUUAUAAAAUUGUCUGAAAGAGGUUAUGGAAACAACUUAUGACAUGUCCAUAAGGUGUUGUCAGCUUAUUUCCAUAAGCUUUCCUAGAGAAGUUAUGAAAAUAGAUUAUAGCUUAUAUGAAAACAGUUUUACUUUAGUAUAUCUUUUGUUAUAGAAAUAGCUUAUACUUAAAUACUUAUAUGAUAAGAAAAAAUAAAUUGUUUGGACUAACCAUAACGAGGCCCAACUCCUUGGACCCUUGCUGAGAAAGCCAAGGUUUCUCUAACAGUCAUUUCUCCAAUGUGAAGAUCAUUUUGAUCCACAUAAGCAGCAGUUCUUUGAGGCACAAACUCAUUCAUCUCAUGACCAUUAUAAGUUACCUUUCCAGAAAACUGAUCAUGAAGCCGCACUAUAUUAGGAAUUUAGCUAUAGAUCGAAAGUUGGAAACUAGAGCUAAAAUAUGAGUACAUAGAUGAUAGAUAGUUAAAAUGUGUGUAUCUUCUUUUAAUGUUCUAACCUUUAAUUUUGGAUCAAGUUUUCCGGCCAAGGCCAACAGGAGUGUGGUUUUUCCAGAACUCGGAGGGCCCAAAAGCAAUGUCAUUCUACAAAGAAGCAAAUUGAAACAUGUUAUAUUGGUUCAAGAGGACCUAUAGUUCAAUCAAUGAAUAGAAUAGUAUUUGUAUUGAUACCUUGAAGGCUUUAAUAUUCCACUAACAUCCUUGAGAAUAUUUAGAUGUUGUUUUCUACUUGGAAGUACAUGAAGAGAAUUCAACAGGCCCUGUACAAUUAAAAUGUUGAAGAAAAAAAACCAUAUUGUUUAGUUAGAAUACCCUUCAAUAAAAUACCACAUAGAAAGUUAGUACUAUUUAUCAGAGUUGAUUAUUUACCUCCACUAUAUUAACCAUGAAGUUAGUGAAGGUAGGCAAAGACCUAUUUCCUACAUGAGCUUCUGCUUCGAUAUUCAAGCCCUCGAAUCGAACCUCUAUUGUAGGAAGAUCAAUUCCUACUCUGAUAUCAUCCAAGGAAGAAGAAAACAAUGAUAAGAAAAUUAAUUAGUGCAUUUCAAAAGCACUUCUUGUAAAAGCAAGGACAAAAAAAUUGAAUUUUAACCUGUCGAUUCGAUCCUUGAGUUUGAGCAAAAACUUUUCAUUGUCUUCUUCAGCAAGUCUAACAAGUCUUUCAAGUAAAUCUUUUCUUUCUUGCAACCCAAGGUUCUCAACAUCGAUCUCAGUGGCUUCCCCUUGAAGUGAAGUGAGCAAACCUUUCCUCAAACGUUCAAAAGUAGGAAGUUUCUGAAUUGCAGCCCAUUUAAGAGCUUCUUCAUCAUCUUCUUGGUGGAAAGAAUUUGAAAAGAUCUCAGCAGCAUCACUGUUCCUCCAUAUUGAUGAACUGCCAAUCCUGAAACUACCUCCACCCUCCAUCCCACCACAACAGAUACAAUUAGUCCGAGUUACUAACAACAAAUUUGGAGAAAAGGGUAUUCAAAAAAUCACUGGCUACUUGCUAACUUAAUUUCCUUAUGGUGUUGUUUUGUGUUGUCAAAAGGACCAUUUUCCUUUCUCUUUGGAGUUUGAAUGAACGUGAAACAAAAAUAAACAAUGGUGAUGUGUGUGUGUAUGUAUAUAUAUUGAGAGAGAGAGAGAGAGAGAGAGUAACAUGGAUGCAUUGGAUUUUCAAUGCCGUAAAAGUUGGAGGGACAUAUAGCUCAUGUUCAUAUGUUCAAAUUCCAUAUAAUCUUAGACAACGUGGCCAUCAUAAACAUGCCGGCUAGAUAUACAUUGCACAUAAUAUUAAUAUUUACCAUUUGACAUCCUUCAAGGAAAAGCAACCUCAAAUAAAGAAUGAACCAUCGUAAUGCUAUAAUACUAUAAUAAUAUAAUACUGUCAGUUUAUUGAUAAAUAAUGGCAUAAGUGACAUCAUUGAUUAUGUCUUAAGAAGUGUAAAAACACUAAACAAAAUACAGUACGUAAUCAGUUAUAAUUAGUUGACUUUCUUAGAUGCUGUUUGUGUUGGUCCAAUUGGUUUUUAUUCUAAAAGUGGUAUAUAUGCACGUGUAAUAAUAAUUAAAUAUUAAAAAAUUGCUUGAUGCCAAUCCAACUCAUGGUUUUAUUGAAGGAAAUACGUAUCAUACAGAAAAUCAUUGAGAUUUCAAUAUCUCACUGUUGUGGGGAAUCAAUCUUGUCCCAAAGAAACAGGAAAAAACAAAUAAAGAUUUUGCUUGUGGCAGGCUGGCAGCUUUAACAGCGUUUCCUCAAAAAAUGUUUUUUUUUUGGUUAACUUUGAUUCUCAAGGUAAAGAUAUGGAGUUUGGUCGGGAUUAUGUGUUGAACAAUUUUGUGUAAGACUUUAAAAAAGUGUAGAUUUUCAUUCUGAUCUAUUCCAAUUGUAUUUAUGAAAAAUUCACUUCACCGACCUUUGUAUAUGUUUGUUUGAAGUUUAUCAAAUUUAUUCUUAGUAAUAACAUUCCUUGGAAUAUAAAGAUGGGAAUUUUAUUCCAAGGAAUUUAGGAAAAAAUAUUUUUGGUUAGCUUUAUAAUAUUCCUAGGAACCAUAAAAAUAGGGAUUAUAAUAGGUAAACUAUUUAUGAAUUUAUUCCCAUCUCCAUGGGAACUUUAUUCCCACCCUUUUCCUUGGGAAAUUUUUUCUAUUCUCAGGAACAUUUUAUACCAAGGAAUAAAUUUUAGUAAACUUGUAACAAACAUAGGCAUAUACAUUUCUAUCAUUUUAUUCCCGGGAAUCAACAAUUAUAACUUGAAACAAACACACCCUUAGUCUUUUCUCCUUCAUCUAUUAAGAUGGAUGAUUUAUGGCCAAUUUUUAUCUAAAAUUAUUUGUCUAGGUUUGUUAUUGUCUUUCUCUUUGUGCACCUAAAAAAGAGGUUUUAUAGUGGACUUCUCUUAAAAUUUAGCUGUUAUAGCAUGUUAACAUACUAUUUUACUUGUAAUCGUUUUUAAUUUUUUUUUAUAUAAAUAUAUCAUUUUAAAAAGAAAAAGUAUGUAAACCUGCUAUGGCACCAUUGAGAUGCAUAUUAGAGGCAUAGGAUUUUCACAUAAAUAUACUUAGUUUUUUCUUUGGUGAUUUUGUCAUAGUAUGACACUUUGUUGUUCGUCGUCUUUUGUAUGGACUUGUUUUGUUUUCCUCUCUUGUUAAGAUGAUUGUUCGAUGUAAAUUAUCAACCUAAUUUUGAUUUAGUGCAAAUUCAAUCAAUAAUUUUAAUAUCGUCAACGUUAAUAAAUCCAGAGGCAUACGACAUACUUAUUAGAGACACUUGAAGAUAAUCAUAUUUGUAUUGUAUUGUUGUAUUUUAUCAAUCAAUUAGAAUGAAUGAAUAUCAUAUAUUUUUAGUAGAAAGAAAGAUAUUUUUCGAGUGUUUCUUUCAAAAAUAAAAUCUUUCAAUGACUCUGACGCAAAUAUCAAGAUCAAUUCUUUCAAAGUGACUAGACUUUUAUUCAUCUAAGAGAUUGACAUCUCUCAAAAAAAUAUUUUUCUAGACCUAUAUCAAGUGACUCACCAUUCACAUAAAUAAAAUAUCAUUGUUAUGUAUAGUAGGACUCUCUUUGAUACAAAUAGUCUUUUUUUUUUUUUUUUUGUGUAAACUUGAUGCUCUAUGUGCAACUGCGAGAAAAUACUUUUUAUGAAUAAAUUAUCAAACUAAAUCUAAAAUAUUUAAUAAAAGUAACUAAGGAAUAUGAAAAAAGAAAAUCAAGAUUUUUUUUUUGACAGAACACAGAAAAUUAUGUUAAUAAUAAUAAUAUUCGGAAUACAUGAUAUAUACUCCAACAAUGACUAAAAUGAUUAAGAAAGUUGAAUUUUUAAGAGUGAGUUGAAUUGCUUUUGAAUGGCAGAAAUAGUUGACAAAAUAAUUAACCAUCAGUAACGAAAUUGAGUUUGACUCUUGAAGUCUUCUAAAUACUGCCGUUGAAGUCAAAUCUUUCACCUUCAAUUUUUUAUAAAUCUUUUAUAUUUGAAAGAAUAUCUUUGUGUGAAAAAAAAAAUUGGAUGUUUCAGAGUUGAUUUAAGGAUCACUCUAAUAUUAAGUCAGUCUACGACAAUCAAUCUUGCAUCUAGACUUUAGAUUAGAGGUGGUAAAGGUGAAAAUCAUACCCAAGUUUUGAUUAUUUUAUUUUUUAUAUAAAAAAAAAAAAUUGUGAUUAGUUGACAAUGUAAAAUAUAUCUAUGUUUGCGUAUGAAUUAAAUCUAAAGUUAAAUAUUUUUUGUCUCUAUAAAUAUUCAAAAAAAAAUUGUAAAAAAAAAGUAUUCAAAUUUUUCAUUUUAAUACUUCUAUAAUUUUUCUUCAACUUUUAGUUCCUCAAAAGUUUUUCAUCGAUAUCUAUGAUCAUACUUUGAAGUCAAGUGAUAUGUCCCCUUCAAAAUUUUGAAUAGGUUUUUGCAAGAAUAUUUAGAAUAUUAUUGAAAUGUCUCCCAAUUUUUGUUAACAAAUAAUGAAUUAAAUAAGAUUUUUAAGCAAAAAAAUAAAUAAAAAAUUCAUAUUUAAUCCAUCUUUUGUUAAAAUAUUUUAAACUUUUGCAUGAGAUAAUCAUAUAAGGUAUUAAAUAUGACUGCAAAAAAAAUUUAAAAUUUCGAAUGAUACUCAUAGUUGACUUAUAAACACAUAGGAAAACUUUUUUGAAACUAAAAUUCGAAGAAAUUUUUUAUGAAGAUUAAAACAAAUUUUUUUUUUUGACAAAAGGAUUAAAAUGUCUAGUUAAAAUAUUUAUUGCAACUAAAAUUAUACAUAACCUUUAAAUUUUUUUUUAUCAAGUAACCUAAUGAUUAAAGGCUACACAUUUUAAAUGUAGAGAAGUAGGGUGUCAGGAGUUCAGACCUUAAUCCCUAAUAUUCAUAUCAACUGAGGUAAGUUCAUGGUAAUAUAUAACCCUCAAGUCUCUUUUAAAAAAAAAAAAAAAUAGAACCCUUAAAUCUAUUAACCGGUAUAAAAAUGAAACGACCAACAUGUUAACCAUGGUUAAACCAAUGUCAUAACAGUGAUUUCAUUCGGGAAAAAAAUUAAGAUAAUUUGUUUGUGGCAGGCUUUAACAGUGGAGAAUUUCAUUCUGAUCGGUACCAAGUUCUAACUAUAUUUAUCGAAAGAAAAAAAAUCUUGUCUUUUAUUGGGAAGAAAUACGAAAAGCCCAAAAAAAAAAAAAAGAAGAACAAGUCGCUAAAACAACAUUAAAACGAAGUCGCAGCUUCAUAGGGUCAAAAGAAGUAUCAAGGGAGAAGGAUAGUCCUUAGUGAUUUUCGAGUGUUUCUAUAAAAAAUAAAUUAAAAUCUUUGAGUUAACUUUUUUUUUUUAAAUUAAAGAUAUUCUUCAUACACAUAAAUAAUGUUCUUUUUGUAUCAUAUAGAGUAAGACCCUAUAUGAUACAAAAAAGAUAUAUGGUACAAAAAGAGUUUUUUUGUCUAAACUUUAUAUCCUCCAUGACACAAAUAAUAAUAAAUUAUAAUAAUAUAAUACUUUAAGACAGAUUAUUAUUAUUUUCCUUUUGACAUGCUUUAAAAAUAUAAUACUAUAAUAAUGCUAUAAUAUUAUAAUACUAUCAGUUUCUUGAUAAAUAAUGGCAUAGGUGACAUCACUGAUAAUGUCUUAAGAAGUGUAAAAACACUAAACAAAAUACAGUACGUAAUAUUUGCUAAAAAUAUAUAUAUAUAUAUACAGUACGUAAUUUCUUUAAAAAAAAAAAUACAGUACGUAAUCAAAUAUAAGUUGACUUUCUUAGAUGCUGUUUGUGUUAGUCCAAUAGUUUUUUUAUUUCAAAAAUAAUGGUAUAAAUGCACUUGUAAUAAUAAUACUUCAUCCGUUUUAAAAUGAGUGUCGUUUUAACUAAAAAAAUUAUUUUAAAAUAAAUGUCACUUUCAGUUUUCAAUGUAAUAAUAAUUUUUUCUCUUCAAUUAAAAUAAAUGAUAAUGUUUUUGAAUUUUUGGUGCAUUUUUUUUAUUGGAGGGGCCAAUUUUUAAGAUUGCAUCGGGGCUAUUAGAUUGUUAAGACGGCCCUGAAUCCAGGGUUCGAAUACUGACCCCUGCAUAUCAAGGAAGGAACAAUAUUAUACAACAAGGACUUAUUGGCCAAAAGUAUUUGAUCAUGGUAAAAGUCAAAAUUGAUAAAUAUCUUUCUACAUACAAUUAUCAACGGUACAUAGAAAAAUAUAUAGAAUCCCCGUGAACUGAAUUCAGUUGAUAAAAAUAAUACAUAUCAUUAUCAUUAUAACUUAAAUUUAGUUGAGACCUUAAAUACCAAGAAAAAUAGAAAUCUAAAGCCCUAUCCUCUAUUGCCUUGGGCUAAGGCCGACCCCGUAACUUAUACGACUAAAAUGGUGUUAUGAGAGUUGAAUUUUUCUAUCCAGAGUUUGAUUCUCCAACUAUAUAUGUGUGAAAGAAUUGGAUGUUUGAGUGUUCAUUUGAGAAUUAGGCUGUGUUUUUUCCAUUACGUCAAUAAGUUAACUUAUAAUUUGUUGAAUUAGUUCGAAAACUUGUUGAAUCAAAGUGUGAUAUGUUUGGUACCAAACAUUUUUGUUUUUGUUUUUGGUAGAACCAAACUUUUCUUACAUGCUUAUAGUUUUUUUUAGAUAUUAUUUUAAGUAGCUUUCGAGCUUAAAAUUUAUAAUUCUUUCUACUUUAUUCUAUUUUUAACCUUGUUUUUUUUUUUUUUUAAUUUUAUUAUUUUUUUACGCUUUUUACAACUGUCCACUAGCUUAAAACUUCACACGUUUUUUCUUUUUCUUAUAAGCAUUUGACGUAACGCCAUUGCUUUGCUUCUUGUUCUUCAAUUGUACUAGUUUCCAUCUUGCUCUUUCUAUCGUUAUCUGGCAAUUAAUAUAGCUAUAAUCUAUCGAUUUGUGGCUAUUAAUAGAGCUGUGAAAAAAAGCUGUUCAUAGAAUUAGUGGUGGAUUCUAAGAUAAAGGUUAAAAAAGUCUCUUUCAAAAAUAAAUAACUGUUUGAGGUUAAAUAGAAUCUUUCCAAAUCUCCAAUUGAUCUAAAAGUUUUGAUUAGUUGACAAUAUAAAAUAUAUAUUUACACCUGCAUAUAAAUUAAAUUUAGGGUUAAAGAUAUUUAGCCUUCUUUUUCGGUACACCUUGUUCUGGGGAGAGUGCCUGUUUUCAGUUUAAUAUAUAUAUAUAGGCAAAUUCUAUGGUACACCCACUAUAUUUAAGUGUACCGGUACACCCAUUCUUUAAAUUCAUAGUUAAAUGAAUUGUUUUUUUGAAGAAAAAUAUUUUUUUUUUAUCAUUUAUAAUUAUAAUAACUAAAUUUUAUUCAUCAAAAGUGUCAACGAAAUAAUUUUUUAUUUUUUAAAAUUUUUAUCACUCAUAAUUGAGAACAUUCAUUAUUUUUUACGAUAAUUGUAAAAAAAGUUACUAUGAUUCUUAUAAACAAUUAAAUGAUGUUUUUUCUUAUGAAAUGUUGUUCUAUAAAAUAUGAAAUGAUCGUUCAUUUAUAAAAUUAAGAAGUAGAAGGACCGGUACACCUCAUUUUAUAAGUGUACUGUAGAAGUUCUCAUAUAUAUAUAUAUAUAUAUAUAUAUAUAUAUAUAUAUAUAUCUCUUUUUUGGCUUCUUCAAAAAAUAUUUUUGCUCCUUAUAAAUAUUUUAAUUUUUUUAGUUAGCACCCUAAAAAUUUUCUUCAACUUAUAGUUUCCCAAUUUUUUUUUACCAUCUACACUCGUUGUCCCCGCUUUUAAAUCAUAACAUAUGCACCCAUCAUAAUUUGAAUGAGUUUUUGUAGAUUUUUUUUUUUUUUUUUUUACAAUUUUGCAAAAAUCUCUAGAAUGUUAUAAGAAUAUCUUCCAACAAAUUAGAUUUUUUUAACAGGAUAUAAAUUAAAUACAAAUUUUUAGUAAAAAAAUAUAAAAUUCAUAUUUAAUUCAUCCAUGUUAAAAAAGUUUAAUUCUUGCAAUAGAGAAAUCUAUAAUGUACUAGACAUGAUUGAAAAAAAUUACACCAAUGAACUUUAGUAUCAUCAACGUUAAUAGAUCUCGUGACAUGCUUAUUCCAGACAUUAAAGAUGGUCAUAUUUGCAGGCUUAUGUAUUGAACAUUGUUAUAUAGCAAAAAAAGUUUUUAACGGAAUUAUACGACAGUAGGAAAACACUUGCAAUACAAGGGCAAUACGAUAAUAUACUAGAUGGCUGAUGGCUAGAUUGGUAAUUACAGCUUUAAAUUAGUGCAGUUCCUACUUUUCGUUGAAUUGAUUUUCGUAACAAACAGCAUUAGCCAUCAAAAAUAAAAUCUUUCAAUGACUUUUUUUGUAAACAGGUAUUCCCCGUACAAAGCCACGAAAAUCAAUUCUUUCAAACUGACUAGACAUUUCUCUUGUUUUAAGUUUUAUAUCUCUUAACAAAUAUUUUUUUUUCCCUUCAUAUAUAUAUAUAUAUAUAUUUCAAGUGACUCACCAUUCACAUAACUAAUUAAUACUAUUCUUAUCUAUAGUAGGACUCUAUUUUUGGUAAAAAAGAGUUUUUUUUUAAACUCGAUAUCCUUGGGUGUGCAAUUACGAGUCAUAUAAGUUUCUCGCUCAUCUUAUAUAAUUCGAAUUAUAGAAUUCGAACUCAUAAACAUCCCAUAAAAUCCUUCAAAAACACGGUGAAAUAUUUCGAAUUUUAAAAUCUGAAUAUGACGUGCGAGAGAAACUGAUAGGGUGGAAAAUGUAAUAAUCAAAUAAUUUUUAUGAAAAAAUAUUGGGCCGAUUAAAAAGAAUAACACAAAAAAUAUUGUGCCGAUCAAUCAAAAGUUGCAAGACUCCAAUAAAUGAGACAUGUUUUUCUGGCUAAAAAAAUAUUCUAAAACGGUUCGGUUCGUAGCUUUCAAACGGCAUUUUAUUUUAUUUUAACAUCUUCGAUAGAUAAGGAAAAUUGCUCUUCUCACAACAAAAAACACCCACUCGCAACUGAAUUGACGAAAGUACCUCUCUGUGAGUUAAGUCACACUCGGUACUUCUAGCCUGAGUUAACUUAUGCAUGUUGUAACCCAUUGCGAUUUAACUCAUGAUGCUUGCUGUUAUAUAGAGCUGUCAAAACGGGCCGGCCCGUUUAGCCCGAAUAAAUAUAGGGCUUGGGCCUAAAAUAUUGAGCCCGAAUUUUAAUAGGGCUUUUUAGCCCGGCCCUUAAAAGCUCGGUACCCGUUAGGGCUAGCCCGAAUGGGCCGCGGGUAGCCCGUUCGCCCGCAUAACAAAAAAAAAAUCUAUAAAUUAUAUAUAUUUUUCAAAUAAUUAUUUACUUAGUUGAUUAUCAAAUAAAAAACAAAAGUGAAAAUUCAAUAAAUUAACACAAAUAUAAAUGUAAUAUAAAAUUAUAUUUAUUCAUUUCGUUAUUUAUAGUGUUAGAGAUCGAAUAUAUAAAUAUCUAUAACCAUAACAUAUUUAAUUUAAUUAAAAUCAUUUUUCUCGUCGUUUUAGUUUACGACGUUUGUACGAAAAUGUUUACAAUUUACUUUUGUGCUAGACAUUAUUUAAACAUAUUAAAAAUAUUAUUUAUAAAAAAAUUAUAGUAGUGUUUUAUAGUAUUUUUUAAAAAUAAAAAAAAAUAUAAUUUUUAAUACGGGCCAGGCUCGGGUAGUAUAUUUCAAGCCCGUUUUGUCAACCGGGCUUUUUGACCCGGCCCGCUAAAGCCCGAAGCCCGCUAGGGCCGGCCCGUUUCGAUAGCUCUACUAUUAUAGAACAAAAACUCGUAAACAUAACUAUUCACUUUCAAACCAUUUCAAAACAUCACAAGUGCGAUUUUCCCCCCUUCAAGUACGAUUUUCUUCAUUCUUGCACCAUUUCAAGUCAAUUUCUCCCACAAAAUCAAGUAAGUGUUUGCAUUGCCUUUUUUUGGUUUAAAUUUUGUUUGGUAUUUUUGGAGAAAUUUUACAUUUUUAGGUUAUUAGAAAUUUGGUUUGCAUGAUAGUUUUUAGGAUUGUUAGUGAUGAAUUAAGUUAUGCAUUGCAGUUUAGAUGUUGUUUAGAGUCCAAUCUGGUAGUUUAGGGUUUACAAAUUGUUAUAUUUUAUAUUGAUUGAAAGUUGCACUCUAGGUGUUUGGUAAAAUGUCUCAAUGAAAAUUUGUUUGUAUUUUGCAUUGUUAGUGAUGAAGUUAGUUAGAAAUUGGUUUAUUAAUGUUGAUUGUAGUGAGUUCGAGUGCAAUGUUGUAGUUCACAGAUUGAAAUGACACUGCCGAAAUUUAACUGUUGUUAUUGAAUAGUUAGAAAUGUGAUAUAUAAGUGGAGAAUCUCAUAUGUUCGAACCCAAGCUCCAACUGAGUUGUAAUUACGGGACAAAUAAAUUACAUAUUUAACUUACUAUCUAAUCACUAGCACGAUACAGUAUUUAAUUGGUAAAUAAAAAAAAUACAAUCAUUGUUGUUGGGUUUUUCAUCUUGAGAUGGAAAAGAAAUUGAAUGUUCUUAGCGCCUUUGGAAAUUAAACAUCUUGAUUGAUAUGGCAAAGACCAAAGCAAAACCUAUUGGAAAUGCAACAUUAACAAGAGCAACCACUCCUAGAAAAUCAUGCUUGAAAUCAAAGUAGUUUUUCAGAAAACCUUCUACUGUUUGUCUUCCAUCACUGGUUUCAAUGUUGUGCUUUUCAUCUCCAUAUUGUGAAACCACCAAUCCAUACAAACUCCACGCUAUUGGAUUUGCCCAACUGUACCAUCUCCACCACACUGGAAUAUUCUGUUAGCCAAAGCCACCGAGAAAAAAAAAAUGAACUAUAAAUUAGUGAUAUAUAUAUCACUAUCAAUAUGCUUAAAAAAGCAUGAACUUUAAAAAUAAAAGAAAUGGGAAAGGGGAAACCAUUAUUAAAGUGACACUAAUUACUGGUUGAUAAUCGUUUCCGACUAUCCCUUGAGAUUACAAAGUUGUACUCUCACUACUAAGAUGAUACCUUAAAGACAUGAAAUUAAAAUGCAUUAAGCGUUUGAGGAAAUCAAAACUUACUGGUCUUGGGACUAUGAAUCCUGAGAAGAGAUUCCAUAUUGAGUAGAAUGCAGAUGAAACUAUAAUGGAUAUGUGAUUGUUUGGGGUCAUGGCCACUGACAUCAAGCCAUAGUAGGUGAAGUAGAGGAAGGUGCAAAACAAGAAGAAUAGGCACCAAAGAAAUUUAACCACAGACCAUUCAAAACCAAUCAUAGCAUACACUAUAAUGCCAUAGACUACAGCUUGUACAAAAACAUAUGGGAGCUCAAUUACAACCUGCAAUGCAAGAUAAUUUACUGUUUUUUGUUAUGUUCUAUAAGAUAAUAAAGACAUCUAUGAUGGUACCAAAAUCAAUAUUUUAUAAAUUUUUUUAGAUACUUGCCUGAGCAAAAGCAUAUGGAAAAGCUGAAUACAUUCCGGCUGCUCUUUCUCUAUAAAAGACCGUUCUUUCGACAGCAACCACUGGCUGCACUGAAUUAGCAUUCUUGAUGCCAAUUACGAUCACAGCAGAAUACAUGGACCCCAUGGCAUUAAAAAGAUCUUGUUCCUUUUCACUGAAAAAAUUGAUACGAAAUAUUACAAACUCGAGAGUUUGAAGCCAUUAAAUUUAUAGUUUUCCAAUUUGAUCUUACAUUUUGGAGCCAAGGUCCCAAAACAUGCUUCCAAACAAAACAGCAACUGCGGUUGAGUACAGAAAUCUAAUGGCAUUAUAUUCAGGAUUGCGCCAAUAAGACCAAUGUUGUUUCCAUAAGCAAGCCAUGCAUUGUGUCCAAAAGGAUCUCGAGUACUGUGAAGCAAAAUAAAGAUCUUUCGAACAAGGUGCUGGAGUACUCAAUUCUUUGAUAAGUGCUUUGUUUCUCCUAAAACAGUUAUAGUAGAUUAUUUUCUGAUUCUAUAGUUUGAUUUGAUUUGAUUUGAUUUCAUACAAGUGAAAAUACCUGUAUAACUCUGAAUUUUGGUACACCUCUGCAAAAUCAAUCCCCAAUUCCCUUUCUUUUGAUGAAGUUGUGACUUCCAACAUCCAUGUUGCUGGAUUAUAACCGUCUUUAAUCUUGCUAACACCAUGGAUCCCCUUCAAGACAAAAGUGUGUACUUAUCGAAAUGUUAACAAAAGAUAACAAUUUGAAACAUAAUAAUGAUUACUUUUAAUUGGAUAUCUAUAUCUAUUUUCUACCUACCUCAAAGUAAUUGAUUAAAUUGGAAGAAUUAUGUCCAAGUGGCCCCACAUAUAUCUCUUGCCCUCCUUGCUUAAGUAGCAAAAGCUGCAUUUCACAUGAGAAAAAUAUUACAGACAUUGCAAUGGAAGAGAACAAACAAAAAAUUUCCUGAUUUUUCCCCUAUCACCUCAUCAAAAGAUUCAAAUAUAUCAAUGCUAGGCUGGUGGAUAGUACAAACAACUGUUCUUCCAGUGUUUACUGUGUUCCUAACUGUUCUCAUCACAAUAGCUGCAGCCCUUGCAUCUAGCCCAGAAGUUGGUUCAUCCAUGAAUAUUAUUGAAGGAUUAGCUACCAACUCAACUGCAAUUGUCAACCGUUUGCGCUGCUCCGUCGAGAGACCAUUAACACCAGGCAGUCCUACUAAUGCGUUUUGCAGUGGUUUCAGUUCCACAAGUUCCAUGACUUCCUCAACGAACAUCUGCAACCAUUAAUUAGUUUCAAACUUGGUAACAUUGAUAAAACAUGCAAGUAUUUAUCACCCCUAUAUUUUUUAUUCUGAUGUUUUCACAUGACAUAAUAAUUCCAAUGAGUAGUAAAUAAACUUGUUUAAAAAAAUGAAUGGUAAAUAAAUAACACAGGUACAUGAAUGCAGUGUGAUUAAAGUGGCUGAUUCAUGUCAAAAUUUCAAGUAAUUGAGAAACUAACCUUUCUAGUUUCAGCAUUGAUGUCUGGGGACAACCGGAGCCAUGCUGAAUAGAGCAAAGAUUCAUAGACAGUAACAUAAGGAGAGUGGAUAUCAUUUUGCUCACAGUACCCAGAAAUUCUUGCAAAGGUUUCUUGCUUCUUUGGAAAGCCGGAAAUUGUGAUGUUCCCACCAAUAUAUCCUCCGGUUUUCCUACCAGAAAGCACAUCCAUCAGAGUUGUUUUGCCAGCACCGGUCACACCCAUUAGAGCAGUGAGAACACCAGGUCUGAAAGCUCCACUUACACCCUUCAAAAGAACCAACUUAUCCUCAACAACACCUAGGUUUCUUCGCAUUUCCUGCAAGUUCAGUACAAGUAUUUGAUAAUUUAUACUUCACAAUAAUGCUUUGAAAGUUCAAUAUGGUCUUUUGUCACUGUCCGUGUAAAGAUUUUUAUACUGUCAAUCAAAUUAGAACCGUUUGACUUUAAUUAUACCUACUUCUAAAGUGACACAUAUGAUUGAAUGUGAUUUGCAAUGUAAAUUUUUUUACACUUCAGUGUAUCAAAAUUUAAAUUUUCAUUCAUUUGGUUUCUACAUUACCUGUGGCAUGUCUACGGAAUAUGUAACUUCAUCAAAGGUUAUAGAAUGUGGUUCAAAAGGAAGAACCAUUCCCCUUUUCCUGCUAUGAUUUGUUUCUGAGGCAACUAUUUCUUGUCUAAUAGGAGAGAUGCUUCCACUUCUACUUUCACCGUUUCUCACUGUGAAGUAGCUCCAAUGUUAUCCAUAAGGUGUUAUGUGAAUUGAAAAUCAACUAUGUAAUAGACUAUAUCUCAUCUAGAUAUUACUAAAUCACUACAUUUUCAGUAGUUAUGAGAUGAAAGUACCUUUAUUUGUGAUCUGUGAAAAGCCAUCCUUUAUGAAUCUCAAUACAUUACUUCUUUCCCUGCUACCACCAAUUUUUUCACUGCUUUGAGAAUCAUCUGGUAUAACAGUUUGAUGCUUCCCAAGAGCUGCAUGAUCAAUUUUGUAGAUUAUCAGUACAUGAACCGUAGUCUCAUCUGUUUUAUUAUACAUCUAAGGUGAAGACACUCACGAUUCAGGAAAGUGAGGGCAAGCAUAUAGCCAAAAUUGAAAAGUAAUGUAUAUCCAAUCAAAGCACCAACACCUAUCCAGUACCAGUAUGACUCAGUGAAGAAUCCGCGAGAUUUCAAAACUUCAACUCCUAGCGGCUCAGUUGAGUUAGGCAGAACCUUUCAUAAGAAAAUAUAUCAAGACAUUUGAUUGUUUGAAUUUUCUUGUUUGCGUAGGAUCAAACUCAAUACUCAGGGAUUUCCAAUAAUCGCAUGUAUUUCGUGCCAACCACUCACUAGACCUUGGUGGUACAUCGGAUUAUUUAUAUGAUAAGGAAGUCACAGAAAAUGAAUAUAUAAAAAGUAAAAAAACUUACAUGUUUCCAUUUAUUCCCAAGGAACUCAUUAUUUACCAUGGCAUUUUGUCCAUACAUCAUAGGUGAUAUCCAGAAUCCCCAUAUCCACCCAUUUUUUAUACUGUCUAUGAUCAUAAAGAAAAGAAAAGAGAGGAGAACUCUUAGUAUAGAACGUAGUGAGACAAACACUGUGAUUAUUUAUUUGUUGUAUCCAUAAUAAUACCUUUUGAUAGGACAAAACCACUCAUAGCGAAAAGGAUGGCAAUUGCAAAUGAUCCAAAUGUUAGAGCCACUGUCAUGUCCCUCCCUACUGCUGCAAUGAAUCUGAAUAAUGCAGUAGCCAUCUGGUGUACUAGUACAAGAAUAAGAUAUUGUCUGAAAAAUCUGCAUCAGGAAGUAGAAAUGCAAAUGGAUAUCAUUAUUUGUUUGGUAGGAUAUAAGAAUAUACAAUGGUAUGAGGGGAAAAAACCAAAAAGGAUCAAGGGAUUGUUUGGAUUUUCUUGUUUAAGUUUAGCUCAGCUAUUGGCAUAAACAUCUGCGAGACAGUUUAGAAGAGCUUAUGGAAACAUUUUAUCACAUGUCCAUAAGUUGUUUUCAGCUUAUUCUGAUAAGCUCUCAAAGAUAAAUUAUAUGAAAAUGGUUUGACUUUUAUUUAAUCGUUCAUUAUAGAAAUAGUUUAAACAUAAUCAUUUAUUUGAUAAGCACUUAUGUUAUAAGUGCUUAAUUAAACUGUUUACCCAAACAGGACACAAUUCACUGUUACACUUAGGACUUAUAAAAACAUAUCACUCUUACCUUUCAAUAUAUGGAUCAAAACCAAUGACAUAGUAGGUAAGGAACACCCAAACAGCCACUUCCGCAAAAAUCAAAGGAAUUUUUAGGAUCCAUCCAGGAAGAGCAUAUGCCCAUGCAGGGAAAAAUAGGUAUCCCCUUUGCUUGUAGAAAACAGGAAGUCUUGAAACUACCAUUGAAAGUUCAGCCAUUCCAUUGAACAUGAUCACAACAACGCCAUAGAAC